Molecule: long non-coding RNA, 778 nt
Filed under: Homo sapiens (human)
Lineage: Eukaryota; Metazoa; Chordata; Mammalia; Primates; Hominidae
Description: HSALNT0403766
Source: RNAcentral
AGUAUUACACCAAGGAAAACGUUCCAGAAACGUCGAUAAGCCGGUGGUGAAUUACUGCCAUCGGAACAUUUACGGCAUUCAAAGACAGAAAAAACUUCAUCUUGAAAAAUCACAAUCCAAAAACAACAGCCAUUCUUACACCAAUUCAUAAAAAAUAUGUGAACCACUUUAUCCCUAAAUACUGCAAAAACAUCAAAAUGAGGGAACAGUGGAACAACAGAGGGUCUUUAAAAGUGUUAUUCUUUGUCGCCCUUUGUUUCUGAGUAAUGCUCACGAUGAUGCUGAUUCAACCACUGCUCUUCUGGGAUCGGGGACCCCAGAAAAGAACCCACCGCCCGAGAGCCAAAGUGGAGGGGUGACCCUCCUCCCCUUUUCCUGCCUCAGCCUCCCAAGUAGCUGGAACUACAGGCAUGCCUCACCAUACUUUGCCCCUUCUACUUUUGUAGAGCCAAGCCUGACCUUCCUGGACUGUUGUUUUCAAGCAUAAUAUCUCUGGUACAACAUUGAUACAAUCCACAUGAGUUCUUUAAGUAAGUGGCUAGUUACUUGGGGAUUCAAAGGAUCAUCUUGUCUCAGACUUUGGGUUCCUAUUGUCAAUACUUAAAUUCUAUGAUAGGAUGCCCCAGGAAAGAAGGAAUACAAGGCCGAGCUGCGUGGUGACUUUCAGGGGCCCUAUUUUUGCCUUAGUAGGCCUUUCUCUCCAUAAAACAGUUAAUAAAAAUUUCAUUUUAUAGUCACAUUGCUAUGAAGAUGAUUAUAUUAAAAUGAUAUCAUAAAA